CAGGCUUAACACAUGCAAGUCGAGGGGCAGCAUGGUCUUAGCUUGCUAAGGCCGAUGGCGACCGGCGCACGGGUGAGUAACACGUAUCCAACCUGCCGUCUACUCUUGGACAGCCUUCUGAAAGGAAGAUUAAUACAAGAUGGCAUCAUGAGUCCGCAUGUUCACAUGAUUAAAGGUAUUCCGGUAGACGAUGGGGAUGCGUUCCAUUAGAUAGUAGGCGGGGUAACGGCCCACCUAGUCUUCGAUGGAUAGGGGUUCUGAGAGGAAGGUCCCCCACAUUGGAACUGAGACACGGUCCAAACCCCUACGGGAGGCAGCAGUGAGGAAUAUUGGUCAAUGGGCGAGAGCCUGAACCAGCCAAGUAGCGUGAAGGAUGACUGCCCUAUGGGUUGUAAACUUCUUUUAUAAAGGAAUAAAGUCGGGUAUGGAUACCCGUUUGCAUGUACUUUAUGAAUAAGGAUCGGCUAACUCCGUGCCAGCAGCCGCGGUAAUACGGAGGAUCCGAGCGUUAUCCGGAUUUAUUGGGUUUAAAGGGAGCGUAGAUGGAUGUUUAAGUCAGUUGUGAAAGUUUGCGGCUCAACCGUAAAAUUGCAGUUGAUACUGGAUAUCUUGAGUGCAGUUGAGGCAGGCGGAAUUCGUGGUGUAGCGGUGAAAUGCUUAGAUAUCACGAAGAACUCCGAUUGCGAAGGCAGCCUGCUAAGCUGCAACUGACAUUGAGGCUCGAAAGUGUGGGUAUCAAACAGGAUUAGAUACCCUGGUAGUCCACACGGUAAACGAUGAAUACUCGCUGUUUGCGAUAUACUGCAAGCGGCCAAGCGAAAGCGUUAAGUAUUCCACCUGGGGAGUACGCCGGCAACGGUGAAACUCAAAGGAAUUGACGGGGGCCCGCACAAGCGGAGGAACAUGUGGUUUAAUUCGAUGAUACGCGAGGAACCUUACCCGGGCUUAAAUUGCAGAUGAAUUACGGUGAAAGCCGUAAGCCGCAAGGCAUCUGUGAAGGUGCUGCAUGGUUGUCGUCAGCUCGUGCCGUGAGGUGUCGGCUUAAGUGCCAUAACGAGCGCAACCCUUGUUGUCAGUUACUAACAGGUUCCGCUGAGGACUCUGACAAGACUGCCAUCGUAAGAUGUGAGGAAGGUGGGGAUGACGUCAAAUCAGCACGGCCCUUACGUCCGGGGCUACACACGUGUUACAAUGGGGGGUACAGAGGGCCGCUACCACGCGAGUGGAUGCCAAUCCCCAAAACCUCUCUCAGUUCGGACUGGAGUCUGCAACCCGACUCCACGAAGCUGGAUUUGCUAGUAAUCGCGCAUCAGCCACGGCGCGGUGAAUACGUUCCCGGGCCUUGUACACACCGCCCGUCAAGCCAUGGGAGCCGGGGGUACCUGAAGUGCGUAACCGCGAGGAGCGCCCUAGGGUAAAACUGGUGACUGGGGCUAAG
This 1438-nucleotide ribosomal RNA is filed under the name uncultured bacterium. RNAcentral's name for it is "bacterial SSU rRNA". It matches the Rfam family "Bacterial small subunit ribosomal RNA". The record is from RNAcentral.